GGUUCCAUGGUGUAAUGGCUAGCACUUCGGAUUUUGAUUAAGAUCCUUCCUAAUUAAUUUCUUCCGGUGAUCUGGGUUCGAUUCCCAGUGGAACCU
Wilcoxina mikolae CBS 423.85 is the source of this 96-nucleotide non-coding RNA. Lineage: Eukaryota; Fungi; Ascomycota; Pezizomycetes; Pezizales; Pyronemataceae. The record is from the annotation of a GenBank genome assembly.